UACAGAGGGUGCAAGCGUUGUUCGGAAUUACUGGGCGUAAAGCGCGUGUAGGUGGCGAUGUAAGUCGGGUGUGAAAUCCCCUCAGCUUAACUGAGGAAGUGCACUCGAUACUGUGUCGCUUGAGUGUUGGAGGGGAUGGCGGAAUUCCCGGUGUAGAGGUGAAAUUCGUAGAUAUCGGGGAGGAACACCUGUGGCGAAGGCGGCCAUCUGGACAACUACUGACACUGAGACGCGAAAGCGUGGGUAGCAAACAGG
This 255-nucleotide ribosomal RNA is filed under the name uncultured bacterium. RNAcentral's name for it is "partial 16S ribosomal RNA". It matches the Rfam family "Bacterial small subunit ribosomal RNA", at positions 524 to 776 of the family's 1533-position model. The record is from RNAcentral.